This 253-nucleotide ribosomal RNA is filed under the name uncultured bacterium. RNAcentral describes it as "partial 16S ribosomal RNA". It matches the Rfam family "Bacterial small subunit ribosomal RNA", at positions 524 to 776 of the family's 1533-position model. The record is from RNAcentral.
UACAGAGGUCCCAAGCGUUGUUCGGAUUCACUGGGCGUAAAGGGUGCGUAGGUGGCCAGGUAAGUUCGGUGUGAAAGCUCGGAGCUUAACUCCGAAAUGGCAUUGAAUACUAUCUGGCUAGAGGGUCGGAGGGGAGACUGGAAUUCUCGGUGUAGCAGUGAAAUGCGUAGAUAUCGAGAGGAACACCAGUGGCGAAGGCGGGUCUCUGGACAGUUCCUGACGCUGAGGCACGAAGGUCAGGGGAGCAAACGGG